RNAcentral lists this ribosomal RNA (253 nucleotides) under uncultured Gracilibacter sp. RNAcentral's name for it is "partial 16S ribosomal RNA". It matches the Rfam family "Bacterial small subunit ribosomal RNA", at positions 524 to 776 of the family's 1533-position model. The record is from RNAcentral. Lineage: Bacteria; Bacillati; Bacillota; Clostridia; Eubacteriales; Gracilibacteraceae.
UACGUAGGUGGCGAGCGUUGUCCGGAAUUACUGGGCGUAAAGGGCGCGUAGGCGGUUUUUUAAGUCAGAUGUGAAAACCCGAGGCUUAACUUCGGGAGUGCAUUUGAAACUGGGGAGCUUGAGUGCAGGAGAGGUAAGUGGAAUUCCUAGUGUAGCGGUGAAAUGCGUAGAUAUUAGGAGGAACACCAGUGGCGAAGGCGACUUACUGGACUGUAACUGACGCUGAGGCGCGAAAGCGUGGGGAGCAAACAGG